RNAcentral lists this ribosomal RNA (103 nucleotides) under Trypanosoma cruzi. RNAcentral describes it as "partial 24S-alpha ribosomal RNA". Lineage: Eukaryota; Euglenozoa; Kinetoplastea; Trypanosomatida; Trypanosomatidae. The record is from RNAcentral.
AAGGUGCGUCGACAGUGUGGGAGUCUCUUCUUCUUUUCCCCUCUCUUUUAUUAGGGGGUGGUGUGGGAAGAAGAAGCCCCUUACUGUUCGGCCAUUCUGAAAA